UACGAAGGGGGCUAGCGUUGCUCGGAAUUACUGGGCGUAAAGGGCGCGUAGGCGGCGCAACAAGUCACUUGUGAAAUCUCCGGGCUUAACUCGGAAAGGUCAAGUGAUACUGUUGUGCUAGAGUGCGGAAGGGGCAACUGGAAUUCUCGGUGUAGCGGUGAAAUGCGUAGAUAUCGAGAGGAACACCUGCGGCGAAGGCGGGUUGCUGGGCCGACACUGACGCUGAUGCGCGAAAGCCAGGGGAGCGAACGGG
This 253-nucleotide ribosomal RNA is filed under the name uncultured bacterium. RNAcentral describes it as "partial 16S ribosomal RNA". It matches the Rfam family "Bacterial small subunit ribosomal RNA", at positions 524 to 776 of the family's 1533-position model. The record is from RNAcentral.